Molecule: long non-coding RNA, 2148 nt
Organism: Clupea harengus (Atlantic herring)
Lineage: Eukaryota; Metazoa; Chordata; Actinopteri; Clupeiformes; Clupeidae
Source: Ensembl
GCAGCAUCGGGUAGUCUCACUGCCAAAGGGAGGCCUGCCAUGAAAAUGGUUAUGUUCCAUAUUUUGAUUGGCUAUUUUGAGAGGCGUAUUGCCUUUACUUAUGGGAGUAUUAGUUUGUUUACCUCUGGCUGAAAUUAUGUGACAAAGUUUUGUUUUAUUUUUUAACAAUAUAUAUUUAACACAGCUUUGAAAUGUUGUGGCACUGUAUCACUAAAAGAAUUCUAAAUGGUUUCAAGCGUACAUGUAACAGUACAACAUGCUUUCAAACUUAAGUGGCAAUAACCAAACAUGUUUUAUGUUGUUGUUCAAAGGCCUUGUUGGAUUUGUUGAAUAUAUAAGGAACUUUGAUUUACAAUACAUUACCUCAAAAAUACAGCCAAAAAUAAAUUCAAGAGGCCAACAUUUUUAUAUACAGAAGCCUACAUUUUUAGAAAUAAGUAUAAAAAUCUUCACUGAAAAUUACCGAGGUGGCUUCUAUGCACAGAACACAGGCCAAGUGAUCUGUGAGUCAAAGAAGCACAGCCCUGUUGUAUCUCAGAGACGAGUGACCAUGUUUUUCACACGAUAGGAUUGGUUUGUUAUGACAGCCAAGGUUAAAAUGAUUCAUAACUGAAACUGAAUGGAUUCGAAGAAAUAAACAUUGUUCAGAAAAUCCCCUCUGCAUAUUAUUGUCUUUUAAAGGAUACAUAUUAGCAGGUGUAUUUAUUUGUCUUUUAAAGGAUACAUAUUAGCAGGUGUAUUGUAUCCCUUGGAUAAACAAACAUGACAUAACGACAGUGAAUAAUUGCAUUGUAUGCAUACACAGUGCUGUUUUUCAUAACAAUAGAAACAGUCAGUACUUUAUCGUUGCCAGUAUUUCAGUGAUUAUACAUUGGUAAUAUGAUUCAUAUUCAAUGCAACAAAGCCUUGUGAGUUGUGAGACCCUUACAGUUCAUGAUUCAUAUAUAGCGGGUAAAAUAAGUAUUGAACACGUCACCAUUCUUCUCAGUAAAUAUAUUUCCAAAGGUGCUAUUGAAAUCUUCACCAGUUGUUGGUAACAACCCAAGUAAUCCAUACAUACAAAGAAACCAAAACAAAUUCAGAAAUUAAGUUAUGUGUAAUGUGAAAUGAAACAGGGAAAAAGUAUUGAACACGCUUACGGAUAUUUAUUUGUACAAAAGCCUUUGUUGGUAAUGACAGCUUUGAGACACCUCCUGUAUGGAGAAACUAGUCGUUUGCAUUGCUCAGGUGUGAUUUUGGCAGAUCUUGAAGAUUCUGUGGGCCUCUUCUAUGAACUCUGAUCUUCAGUACUUCCCAUAGAUUUUCAAUUGGAUUCUACUCUAGCAGCUUUAUUUCUUUCUCUGAAACCAAUUCAGAGUUCCCUUGGUUGUGUGUUUGGGAUCAUUGUCUUGCUGAAAUGUCCACCCUCGUUUCAUCUUCAUUAUCCUGGUAGUUGGCAACAGAUUUUUAUCAAGAAUGUCUCGGUACAUUUUUUUAUGUGAAAUUUGCCAGUACCGUAUGCUGAAAAGCAACCCCACACCAUGAUGUCCCCACCUCCAAACUUCACUGUUGGUAUGGUGUUUUUAGGUUUAGGUUUUAGCAGUGCCAUUUGUCCUCCAAACAUGGUGUGUAUUAUGGCAUCCAAAGAGUUUCAUUUAACCCUAACCCUGACCCGAGUUUCAUCUGACCAGACUAUACUCUCCCAGUAUUUCACAGGCUUGUCCAAAUCUUGUGCAGCAAACUUUAAACGAGCUUCAACAUGCUUUUUCUUCAGCAAUGGAGUCUUGCGUGGUGAGCGUGCAUACAGGCCAUGACGGUUGAGUGCAUUACUUAUUGUUUUAUUUGAAACAAUUGUACCUGCUAAUUCCAGGUCUUUCUGAAGCUCUCCGCAAGUGGUCCUUGGCUCUUGGACAAAUCUGAUAAUUCUUUUCACUCCUCUGUCAGAAAUCUUGCGAGGAGCACUUGGUCAUGGGCAGUUUAUGGUGAAAUGAUGUUCUUUCCACUUCCGGAUUAUGAUAUUAAUUUGCACUGACAAGGGGCCGGAUUGCUUUCUAAUUACUGAUAGAUUUCAGCUGAUUUCAACUUUCCAUGCCUUUUUGCACCUCCCUUUCUUCAUGUGUUCAAUACUUUUUCCCUGUCAUUUCAAAUUAUUACUGUAAUAUAAUUUCU